GAAUCCGCYAAGGAGUGUGUAACAACUCACCUGCCGAAUGAAUUAGCCCUGAAAAUGGAUGGCGCUUAAGCGGGCAGCCGACACCAUGCCGUCUGAUCAAAGUGGAGACUAUCAGAUGAGUAGGAGGGCGUGGCGGUCGUAUCGAAGCGUGCGCGCGAGCGCUCGUGGAACGGCCGCUAGUGCAGAUCUUGGUGGUAGUAGCAAAUAUUCAUGUGAGAUCCCUGAAGGGCGACGCGGGGUAGGGUUCCACGCGAACAUUGAUUGAGCGUGGGUGAGUCGUUCCUAAGCCGUUUGGCAAUAGCUAAACUAUCGGCGAAAGGGAAGCGGGUUGACAUUCCCGCACACGGAUGUGGAAGCGGUGACGCACUACUGGGACGAUAACGCUGGCGGUGGCACUAGGCAGAGAUUUCUUUUCUGUUUGACCGGACCGUUGUGCGCUGUGUGGAGACUGCUUGUCAGGAGAAACACGCGUGCUCGGGCAGAGCGCCGGGACUUUUCCGGCGUCUAGUUCGCUACCGACCGCCCUUGAAACAUCGUCUGCUGGCAAGGGUAGAGCCUAGUGUUCUACUUUUGUGUGAAAAAUCCACGCCGUAACGUACCGAUAACCGCAUCAGGUCCCCUAGGUGAACAGCCUCUGUCCAGUAUGAACAAUGCAGGUAAGGGAAGUCGGCA
RNAcentral lists this ribosomal RNA (672 nucleotides) under Gymnothamnion elegans. RNAcentral describes it as "eukaryotic LSU rRNA". It matches the Rfam family "Eukaryotic large subunit ribosomal RNA", at positions 1264 to 1920 of the family's 3401-position model. The record is from RNAcentral. Lineage: Eukaryota; Rhodophyta; Florideophyceae; Ceramiales; Callithamniaceae.